AAGUCGUAACAAGGUUUCCGUAGGUGAACCUGCGGAAGGAUCAUUACAGAAUUUUGAGAGGGGUUGUAGCUGGCCGGAAGGCAUGUGCACGCCUCGAUCAUCAUCCAUCUCACACCUGUGCACAUACUGUAGGUCGGUUUGUGGGGUGAAGUCUUCAUUGAUUUCGCUCUGUGGGCCUUCCUAUGUUUUAUUACAAACUACUAGUUUCAAGAAUGUCUACUGCGUGUAACGCAUUUAUAUACAACUUUCAGCAACGGAUCUCUUGGCUCUC
Molecule: unclassified non-coding RNA, 271 nt
Filed under: Fomitopsis serialis
Lineage: Eukaryota; Fungi; Basidiomycota; Agaricomycetes; Polyporales; Fomitopsidaceae
Description: Antrodia serialis partial internal transcribed spacer region
Rfam family: Eukaryotic small subunit ribosomal RNA (bases 1-46)
Source: RNAcentral